UACGAAGGUGGCGAGCGUUAUCCGGAAUUACUGGGUGUAAAGGGCGUGUAGGCGGCACUGUAAGUCAGAUGUGAAAUCUCCCGGCUCAACCGGGAGAGUGCAUCUGAUACUGCAGUACUUGAGUGAUAGAGGGGAAAGCGAAAUUCCUAGUGUAGCGGUAAAAUGCGUGGAAAUUAUGAGGAACACCAGUGGCGAGGGCGGCUUUCGGGCUAAUAACUGACGCUAUGGCGCGAAAGCGUGGGGAGCAAACAGG
Molecule: ribosomal RNA, 253 nt
Filed under: uncultured bacterium
Lineage: Bacteria
Description: partial 16S ribosomal RNA
Rfam family: Bacterial small subunit ribosomal RNA
Source: RNAcentral